GUUUUGUGUGCCUCUACUGAGUGAUGUGAGAAGACCUAGCAAGCUCAGAACUCCAAACAUGAUAAGUGCAAGAUCAUCUCCCACAGAGAGGAGGAGCAAGCAGCUUAGCAGAAAAUGCAUGUGUAGUGGACUUCCCAUCAGCUGGAUGGUAAGUAGCAGGCAGCUAGAUGAGGCCACCUGUGGGCUUAGUCUCCUCUUGGACCCGGCUUUGGCCUCUGAAUACAUUUAUUAUUGGGCUGCAUCUGCACAAAACAUUUGCAGGAAGCCGCGCAUGGUGACACACGCCUUUAAUCCCAGAACUCGGGAGUCAGAGGCAGGCAGAUUUCUGACUUCCAGACCAGCCUGGUCUACAAGGUUACAGUUGGGAAGAACAUACAAUUGAAGACCAUUUCCAAACUUCUAGAAGUCAUGGAAAGUAAUUUUCCUCUGCAAGCUGAGGAGAAAAUGCCUAUGAAGAAAGUUUAACGUGUGCUACAAGUAGUAAAGAAAACCAAUAGGGCAUGAAAGAAGUUCUUCUGCAGAGCAACACUCUGAGUUUAUUCAAUGUGGUAAAGCCUUUGCAUAUCAGAGUCAUAGUCAAAGGCAUGAAAGAAUACACAAUGGAGAGAAACACUAUGACUGUAACCAAUGUGGUAAAGACUUUGGAACAAGGAGUGUCCUCUAAAGACUUAAACGAACACAUACAGGAGAGAAACCCUAUGAAUGUAACCACUGUGGUAAAGCCUUUGCAAAAAGGAGUGACCUCCAAAUUCAUAAACGAAUACAUACAGGAGAGAAACCCUAUGAAUGUAACCAAUGUUGUAAAGCCUUUGCAUAUCAGAGUCAUAGUCAAAGGCAUGAAAGAAUACACAAUGGAGAGAAACACUAUGACUGUAACCAAUGUGGUAAAGACUUUGGAACAAGGAGUGUCCUCUAAAGACUUAAACGAACACAUACAGGAGAGAAACCCUAUGAAUGUAACCACUGUGGUAAAGCCUUUGCAAAAAGGAGUGACCUCCAAAUUCAUAAACGAAUACAUACAGGAGAGAAACCCUAUGAAUGUAACCAAUGUUGUAAAGCCUUUACACGAAGCAGUCAUCUCGGAAUCCAUAAGCGAACACAUACAGGAGAGAAACCCUAUGAAUGUAAGCAAUGUGGUAAAGCCUUUGCACAUAGCUGUACUCUCCAAAUCCAUAAGCGAACACAUACAGGAGAGAAACCCUAUGAAUGUAAACAAUGUGAUAAAGCUUUUGUAAAAAGGGGAGAACUCCAAAUACACAAGCGAACACAUACAGGAGAGAAACCCUAUGAAUGUAAACAAUGUGGUAAAGCCUUUGCACAUAGCAGUACUCUCCAAAUACAUAAGCGAACACACACAGGAGAGAAACCCUGUGAAUGUAAACAAUGUGGUAAAGCCUUUGCACAUAGCAGUACUCUCCAAAUACAUAAGCGAACACAUACAGGAGAGAAACCCUAAGAAUCUAAACAAUGUGGUAAAGCUUUUAAAAGAAGUGGUGACCUUCUAAUACAUAAGCGAAGACAUACAUGAGAGAAACCCUGUGAAUGUAAGCAAUGUGGUAAAGUUUUUAUAAGAAGUGUUGACCUUCAAAUACAUAAGCGAAGACAUACAGGAGAUAAACCCUAUGAAUGUAAACAAUGUGGUAAAGCUUUGCAGAAAGCAGUACUCUCCAGAUAUAUAAGCGAACAUGUACAGGAGAGA
This is an RNA transcript of Mus musculus (house mouse), 1699 nucleotides long. It is a transcript of the gene named predicted gene 14405, with no coding region annotated. The record is from RefSeq and is marked validated. The transcript has 3 exons. NCBI's taxonomy places the organism in Eukaryota, Metazoa, Chordata, Mammalia, Rodentia, Muridae.